AUGAGUCGUAUACGUAGUCCGUAUGUACGAUUCUGCGAGAGGGCUGAGACGGUGACGUCUCACCUACUCGAU
Molecule: unclassified non-coding RNA, 72 nt
Filed under: Marinobacter sp. LV10R510-11A
Lineage: Bacteria; Pseudomonadati; Pseudomonadota; Gammaproteobacteria; Pseudomonadales; Marinobacteraceae
Source: RNAcentral